Molecule: ribosomal RNA, 253 nt
Filed under: uncultured bacterium
Lineage: Bacteria
Description: partial 16S ribosomal RNA
Rfam family: Bacterial small subunit ribosomal RNA
Source: RNAcentral
UACGUAGGGCGCAAGCGUUAUCCGGAAUUAUUGGGCGUAAAGAGCUCGUAGGCGGUUUGUCGCGUCUGCCGUGAAAGUCCGGGGCUCAACUCCGGAUCUGCGGUGGGUACGGGCAGACUAGAGUGAUGUAGGGGAGACUGGAAUUCCUGGUGUAGCGGUGAAAUGUGCAGAUAUCAGGAGGAACACCGAUGGCGAAGGCAGGUCUCUGGGCAUUAACUGACGCUGAGGAGCGAAAGCAUGGGGAGCGAACAGG